RNAcentral lists this ribosomal RNA (253 nucleotides) under uncultured bacterium. Its description in RNAcentral is "partial 16S ribosomal RNA". It matches the Rfam family "Bacterial small subunit ribosomal RNA", at positions 524 to 776 of the family's 1533-position model. The record is from RNAcentral.
UACGUAGGGGGCAAGCGUUGUCCGGAUUCAUUGGGCGUAAAGAGCGUGUAGGCGGCCAGGUAGGUCGGUUGUGAAAACUGGAGGCUCAACCUUCAGAGGUCGACCGAAACCAUCUGGCUAGAGUCCGGGAGAGGAGAGUGGAAUUCCUGGUGUAGCGGUGAAAUGCGCAGAUAUCAGGAAGAACACCCGUGGCGAAAGCGGCUCUCUGGAACGGUACUGACGCUGAUGCGCGAAAGCGUGGGGAGCAAACGGG